UAGGGAAUCUUCGGCAAUGGACGAAAGUCUGACCGAGCAACGCCGCGUGAGUGAAGAAGGUUUUCGGAUCGUAAAACUCUGUUGUUAGAGAAGAACAAGGACGUUAGUAACUGAACGUCCCCUGACGGUAUCUAACCAGAAAGCCACGGCUAACUACUUGCCAGCAGCCGCGGUAAUACGUAGGUGGCAAGCGUUGUCCGGAUUUAUUGGGCGUAAAGCGAGCGCAGGCGGUUUCUUAAGUCUGAUGUGAAAGCCCCCGGCUCAACCGGGGAGGGUCAUUGGAAACUGGGGGACUUGAGUGCAGAAGAGGAGAGUGGAAUUCCAUGUGUAGCGGUGAAAUGCGUAGAUAUAUGGAGGAACACCAGUGGCGAAGGCGGCUCUCUGGUCUGUAACUGACGCUGAGGCUCGAAAGCGUGGGGAGCAAACAGG
RNAcentral lists this ribosomal RNA (429 nucleotides) under Gemmatimonadota bacterium. RNAcentral's name for it is "Gemmatimonadetes bacterium partial 16S ribosomal RNA". It matches the Rfam family "Bacterial small subunit ribosomal RNA", at positions 355 to 776 of the family's 1533-position model. The record is from RNAcentral. Lineage: Bacteria; Pseudomonadati; Gemmatimonadota.